CCUACGGGGGGCAGCAGUGAGGAAUAUUGGUCAAUGGACGAGAGUCUGAACCAGCCAAGUAGCGUGAAGGAUGACUGCCCUAUGGGUUGUAAACUUCUUUUAUAAAGGAAUAAAACGAGGCACGUGUGCCUUUUUGCAUGUACUUUAUGAAUAAGGAUCGGCUAACUCCGUGCCAGCAGCCGCGGUAAUACGGAGGAUCCGAGCGUUAUCCGGAUUUAUUGGGUUUAAAGGGAGCGUAGAUGGGUUGUUAAGUCAGUUGUGAAAGUUUGCGGCUCAACCGUAAAAUUGCAAUUGAUACUGGCAGUCUUGAGUACAGUUGAGGUAGGCGGAAUUCGUGGUGUAGCGGUGAAAUGCUGAGAUAUCACGAAGAACCCCGAUUGCGAAGGCAGCAUACUAAACUGUGACUGACGUUGAGGCUCGAAAGUGUGGGUAUCAAACAGGAUUAGAUACCCCAGUAGUC
Molecule: ribosomal RNA, 460 nt
Filed under: uncultured bacterium
Lineage: Bacteria
Description: partial 16S ribosomal RNA
Rfam family: Bacterial small subunit ribosomal RNA
Source: RNAcentral